This 245-nucleotide ribosomal RNA is filed under the name uncultured bacterium. RNAcentral describes it as "partial 16S ribosomal RNA". It matches the Rfam family "Bacterial small subunit ribosomal RNA", at positions 524 to 768 of the family's 1533-position model. The record is from RNAcentral.
UACGAAGGGAGCGAGCGUUAUUCGGAAUUACUGGGCGUAAAGAGCGUGUAGGUGGUUUGGUAAGUCGAUUGUUAAAUAUCACGGCUUAACUGUGAGCAAGCGAUCGAAACUGCGAGACUAGAGGUCAGGAGAGAGAAGUGGAAUUCUCGGAGUAGCGGUAAAAUGCGUAGAUCUCGAGAGGAACACCGAUGGCGAAGGCAGCUUUUUGGCCUGUACCUGACACUAAAGCGCGAAAGCGUGGGGAG